RNAcentral lists this ribosomal RNA (459 nucleotides) under uncultured bacterium. Its description in RNAcentral is "partial 16S ribosomal RNA". It matches the Rfam family "Bacterial small subunit ribosomal RNA", at positions 338 to 795 of the family's 1533-position model. The record is from RNAcentral.
CCUACGGGUGGCAGCAGUGGGGAAUAUUGGUCAAUGGGCGCGAGCCUGAACCAGCCAAGUCGCGUGAAGGAUGACUGCCCUACGGGUUGUAAACAUCUUUUGUAAAGGAAUAAGGUGAGGCACGAAUGCCCUUUUGUAUUUACUUUAUGAAUAGGGAUCGGGUAACUCCGUUCCGUCAGCCGCGGUAAUAGGGUGGAUCGGAGCGUUGUCGGGAUUGGUUGGGUUGAAAGGGUGCGUAGGGGGAGUAUCAAGUCAACGGGAAAAAUUCGGGGCUAAACCCGGUAGUGCAGUUGAUACUGAUGUGCUUGAGUGGGCGAGAAGUAUGUGGAAUGCGUGGUGUAGCGGUGAAAUGCGUAGAGAUCAGGAAGAAUUCCGAUGGCGAAGGCAGCAUACUGGCGAACAACUGACGCUGAAGCGCGAAAGCGUGGGUAGCGAACAGGAUUAGAUACCCUUGUAGUC